CAGAAGAAUCCAGAGAUGGAUUUGUGCCUUCGGGAACUGUGAGACAGGUGCUGCAUGGCUGUCGUCAGCUCGUGUUGUGAAAUGUUGGGUUAAGUCCCGCAACGAGCGCAACCCUUAUCCUUUGUUGCCAGCGGUUAGGCCGGGAACUCAAAGGAGACUGCCAGUGAUAAACUGGAGGAAGGUGGGGAUGACGUCAAGUCAUCAUGGCCCUUACGACCAGGGCUACACACGUGCUACAAUGGCGCAUACAAAGAGAAGCGACCUCGCGAGAGCAAGCGGACCUCAUAAAGUGCGUCGUAGUCCGGAUUGGAGUCUGCAACUCGACUCCAUGAAGUCGGAAUCGCUAGUAAUCGUGGAUCAGAAUGCCACGGUGAAUACGUUCCCGGGCCUUGUACACACCGCCCGUCACACCAUGGGAGUGGGUUGCAAAAGAAGUAGGUAGCUUAACCUUCGGGAGGGCGCUUACCACUUUGUGAUUCAUGACUGGGGUGAAGUCGUAACAAGGUAACCGUAGGGGAACCUGCGGUUGGA
Molecule: ribosomal RNA, 531 nt
Filed under: Salmonella enterica
Lineage: Bacteria; Pseudomonadati; Pseudomonadota; Gammaproteobacteria; Enterobacterales; Enterobacteriaceae
Also listed under: 1 other name
Description: bacterial SSU rRNA
Rfam family: Bacterial small subunit ribosomal RNA
Source: RNAcentral